RNAcentral lists this long non-coding RNA (1010 nucleotides) under Lactuca sativa (garden lettuce). RNAcentral's name for it is "long non-coding RNA (LSAT_LNC008093)". Lineage: Eukaryota; Viridiplantae; Streptophyta; Magnoliopsida; Asterales; Asteraceae. The record is from RNAcentral.
UUACCAAAUAAAAUAAGAUGACCAUUCAUCCAUAUAAGAUUGCAAAAGCUACAAUUGCAAAUGAGAAACCAUUGAAACUAAAAAUUAAACAUUUCAAAUCAGUAAAUUCUAUGUUCCAGCUUGAAAAUACCUAUUUUUCAUCAAUCUUACUAGAUUAAUGAAGUACAGUGUAACAUUACAUUCAUCAUGCAACAAGUUCAUCCUUCCUCUUCUUCUCAUAAUACAAGCAUCCUUACUUUAUUAUUCACAACAACUGCUACUGGCUCACUCAUCUUGUAAGCAAUAAAUCUAAAUCAAAGUACAAUAAUAAAAUUUAGUAGUGAUAAUUAAUCAUUUUUUAAUUCCUUACAAAAUAAAUGAGCAGAUUAGCAUAAAGAAAGCAUACAAUAUAUAGAAAAAAAUUCAAUUCUAAAACAUUAGAACAUUUCAGGGGACAUCACUUUGUUACGCAUAUCAAAGUGACUAAAUAAUUUGGCACUUAAAUAAAAUAUAUAUAAGAAAAAUAAGUCACCUCUAAAGCAUCAGAAUAGGAAAUUAAGAUCUCGCAUGAUUAACGGGUUAAUCAGCCUUUUGGAUCAGAUACACGUACACUCAAUAAUUUAAAUAUGUAUUAAUUAGCUUACGAAUCAUGAAAACAAUAGUAGGAUAUGAUUUAUUACUCACUGUUCUUCAUUUCCAAUGAGAUAUCAAGUAAAACUGUUCGCAUCUGGUGGAGUACGACAUCAAGAAAAAUAAAAUACCCAAAUGCAAUCGAUAAAGCCAUACAUGGGGGGCAUUGAUCGUAUGGUUGUAUUGGAAUUAGGCAUUGAUCGCCGACGGCGGCGCCUCUUUUUCCUUCCGAUUACAGGAACACAUCACACAAACACACAUCGUCUUUCCCCUUCUUUUGGCCUCUUCCGAUCAUUAUAUUGGAUGUAGGGCAGCAAACAUUUAAUUUAUUGUUUUCUUUCCUUUUGAUUUCAUUGUUUAGUUCCUUAAUUUUAGUAGCUACGACUGAAAAUAGGAGAAAA